This 250-nucleotide ribosomal RNA is filed under the name uncultured bacterium. RNAcentral's name for it is "partial 16S ribosomal RNA". It matches the Rfam family "Bacterial small subunit ribosomal RNA", at positions 355 to 622 of the family's 1533-position model. The record is from RNAcentral.
UGGGGAAUAUUGCACAAUGGAGGAAACUCUGAUGCAGCGACGCCGCGUGAAUGAUGAAGGCCUUCGGGUUGUAAAGUUCUGUCCUUGGGGAAGAUAAUGACGGUACCCAAGGAGGAAGCCCCGGCUAACUACGUGCCAGCAGCCGCGGUAAUACGUAGGGGGCGAGCGUUGUCCGGAAUUAUUGGGCGUAAAGGGUUCGCAGGCGGUCUGAUAAGUCAGAUGUGAAAGGCGUAGGCUCAACCUACGUAAG